CUCACAUUGUCUUUGAUCCCUGUGGUCUAAAUGGCUGCAUUUUAUAGACUCAGAGGCAUUUAGUGUCUGUUAAGAAAAAAGAUAAUAACCUCCAAAUUCCUAUUGCCUUUUCCCAAAUUAUUUACAGAUUUCAGUUACUAACUGAAAAGAGGGCCUUCAUUCAAAUAUGAAUAAAGGAAGUGAUGUGGCAUUUACUCAACAUUUCAUUUUUUCUUCUUGGUUCUUUUUACUUUCCAGCUGUUCAGUGUCUUUUCUCUUAUGCCCAGACUAUAUACCAGCCUUACCAGUCUUGGCAGAGGAGAGAUGUCUGUCCCAAGAGGAAUAUUGGACUCUCUCCUGUCAUUUGCAUACAAUUCACCUACCCUAAGCUCUGUUUCCAAAGAUACUGGCCUUUCCAUGCUGAAAUGAUGGAGAGUGAAAAUAAGAUAUCAAAUGUGGGCAGCUAUCAGUCUACCUGCAGGGCAGCUGCUGAGACUUUACUGCCUGUAUAUGGACCCUGACUAUCCUCCAGCUCAUAUCAGGACACUUGAGAAGGACCCAAGGAUCACCACUGGGCUCUAAGAAUGAAGGAGGUGAGGACUAAAGUGAAUGUUAUUCUGCAUCACAUGGAGCCCUUCCAAAAGACUGUUGCUGAUGUGUUAUUCAUUCAGAAACCUUGAUUCCUUCCACCUUGUUCAUAACUCCUCACAUCAGAUCAAUAAAAAAAUACCAUUGAUUCUAAUUAACA
This 727-nucleotide long non-coding RNA is filed under the name Sus scrofa (pig). RNAcentral describes it as "lncRNA (ENSSSCG00035079962.1, ENSSSCG00065033115.1)". Lineage: Eukaryota; Metazoa; Chordata; Mammalia; Artiodactyla; Suidae. The record is from RNAcentral.